This 178-nucleotide ribosomal RNA is filed under the name Caloplaca turkuensis. Its description in RNAcentral is "partial 18S ribosomal RNA". The record is from RNAcentral. Lineage: Eukaryota; Fungi; Ascomycota; Lecanoromycetes; Teloschistales; Teloschistaceae.
GGAGCUGGAAGGUUCCCCCGGGUUCCCGGGGGCAACGAUCAGCUGCUGCACGCCCGAACCGUGCAGUUCACAGAUCAAACGCGAGUGGCCUGCGCCCGCAGGUUGAGAUAUGACCGUAGCAGCUCUGCGAGGAGUCUGACCCCCUAGUUCCGUAGGUGAACCUGCGGAAGGAUCAUUA